RNAcentral lists this ribosomal RNA (517 nucleotides) under Efferia nemoralis. Its description in RNAcentral is "partial 16S ribosomal RNA". It matches the Rfam family "Bacterial large subunit ribosomal RNA", at positions 1828 to 2601 of the family's 2925-position model. Lineage: Eukaryota; Metazoa; Arthropoda; Insecta; Diptera; Asilidae. The record is from RNAcentral.
AUGUCCUAUAGAUUAUAUUUUAGGUCUAACCUGCCCGUUGAUUAUUUGAAAGGCCGCAGAAUUUUAACUGUGCAAAGGUAGCAUAAUCACUAGUCUUUUAAUUGAAGGCUUGUAUGAAUGGUUGAACGAGGUACAUGCUGUUUCAUGUUAAUAAGUUAUAGAAUUUUAUUUUUGAGUUAAAAAGCUUAAAUUUUUUUGAAAGACGAGAAGACCCUAUAGAUCUUAAUGAUUAUUUAGUUAUUAAUAAUUUAGAUUCUUUUGUUUUGAUAAUUAAUAUAUUAUUUUGUUGGGGUGACACAGAAAUUUAAUUAACUUUCUGUAUUUUUGUAACAUAAAUAUAUGGAAAAUUGAUCCUUUGUUUAAGAUUAAUAGAUUAAGUUACCUUAGGGAUAACAGCGUAAUUUUUUUAGAGAGUUCAUAUCGAUAAAAGAGUUUGCGACCUCGAUGUUGGAUUAAGGUAUAUUAUUGGGCGCAGCAGUUCAGUUAUAAAGUCUGUUCGACUUUUGAAUCCUUACAU